RNAcentral lists this unclassified non-coding RNA (331 nucleotides) under soil metagenome. Its description in RNAcentral is "partial contains 5.8S ribosomal RNA, internal transcribed spacer 2, and large subunit ribosomal RNA". The stretch from base 1 to 120 matches the Rfam family "5.8S ribosomal RNA", at positions 35 to 154 of the family's 154-position model. The record is from RNAcentral.
GAUGAAGAACGCAGCGAAAUGCGAUAAGUAAUGAGAAUUACAGAAUUCAGUGGAUCAUCGAAUCUUUGAACGCACAUUGCGCCCCUUGGUAUUCCGAGGGGCAUGCCUGUUCGAGCGUCAUUUCAACCCUCAAGCUCUGCUUGGUCUUGGGCCUGGCCGUGAUGGCCGGUCUUAAAAUCAGUGGCGGUGCCGUCGCAGGCUCCAAGCGUAGUACAUCUCUCGCUCUGGAAACUUGGCGGUGCCUGCCAGACAACCCCUAAUUGUCUCUUUCGGUUGACCUCGGAUCAGGUAGGGAUACCCGCUGAACUUAAGCAUAUCAAUAAGCGGAGGA